CUUGGUGAUUUUAGCGAUCUGGAUCCACUCCAUCCCAUUCCGAACUGGAUAGUGAAACGGAUCAGCGCCGACAAUAGUGCGAUGUGAUGUUGCGCGAAGAUAGGUCAUCGCCAGGG
RNAcentral lists this ribosomal RNA (116 nucleotides) under Candidatus Curtissbacteria bacterium RIFCSPLOWO2_01_FULL_42_26. Lineage: Bacteria; Candidatus Curtissiibacteriota. The record is from RNAcentral.